Long non-coding RNA from Ursus maritimus (polar bear), 1260 nucleotides. NCBI's taxonomy places the organism in Eukaryota, Metazoa, Chordata, Mammalia, Carnivora, Ursidae. The record is from Ensembl.
UGUGGGGAGAUGGUGGGGGGGGAUGGGAGUUAGAGGCAGGGAGGAGGGGGGGAAGUUUCUCGGGGGAGGCAAAAAAAAGUUUUCUCUCCUCUGCAAAAGGCGGGCAGGGCGCCCUAAGUCCAAGGACAAUCCAUGGAAGUGUUCGCUUCUUCACAAGUUGUGCAAACGAUUUGUUAGUUCAUGAGCCUAAUUAGUGCGGGGAUCACAUAAACAGCUUCCUCCGAAGCCUGGUAAAUGGCUUGAUGAUUGGUCGCUAUUACUCGCCCUGAGGUGGAAGGGGGGAGACUCUUUAAAGUGCGUCAGAGAGAGGCGAGCGCCUGGGAACCCGGAGGCCUGGAUCCCGGCCGAGUGUGGAACGGAGUCGGCGCCGCUGCCUCGGCCGAGCCUCCUGCGCCCGCCAGGCCCCCCGCCUCCCCGCGCCUUCUCCCCGCGCUCCAAGCUCACUCGCUCCCGCGGCGGCCGCUGUGGCUUCUCCUCCUCCUCUUUCGCCUCCUCCUCUUCCUUCGGCCUCCUCUCCUCCUUCUCCUCCUCCUCCUCCUCCUCUUCCUCCUUCUCCUCCUCCUCUUCUUCCUCCUCCUCUUUCCCCACCUCCUCCCCUUCUGCCACCGCCUCCUCCUUCACCACCACCACUCCCUCCGGGGCAACCGGGUCCCUGCAGAGUCCCCGGCCCGCGCCGCCUCUGCUGCGGCCCCCUGGAUCCCGAACUGGUGGGACAGACGGACAGACGGACACGCAGAUCCCUCGCGCCCAGCUCUCGGUAGCUGCUGACCCCCGUGGCCCCGCGUCCGGGAAGCUGGGCUCGCCCCCGGAGCACCGCGAGGGUAAGCAGGCAGGGAUGGAUUCCGGGCGAGGGCUAACGGAGCUGUUCGGUUACAUCAGUCCCCACCUCCAGCGGAACUCCAGGCGGUUUCCCAGCGGUUGCAGUCUCCAGGCCUGGCUGCAUGGCGAGGCGAGGCGUCGGAACACGCACAGGAUGCCAAGCCUUCCAGAUGAAGAAUGGAUGACAGUGCCAACCAUGUGGACGUGGAGCUCCCCCAGAUGGGCUUUGGCACAUCUGGCCCAUCUGUAGUAUUUUCUCCAUCCAGGUGUUCACUUGGCAAGAAACUCCUAAUCCAGAAACCCUUGCAGCAAGGGGAUAAGUUUUUCUAAGCGGCGAAUGACUACAAACACAUCUGCAUUGACAAGUCACAACUUAUAUCCUUCUAUGGUGUUUCUGCUCUUUUGAAAAUGUUAAUAAAAACUUAAUGUGGAAAAAAAACA